Molecule: non-coding RNA, 29 nt
Filed under: Mus musculus (house mouse)
Lineage: Eukaryota; Metazoa; Chordata; Mammalia; Rodentia; Muridae
Source: RNAcentral
UGGGGCAGCACCACAUUUCUGCAAUGGAC